This 474-nucleotide ribosomal RNA is filed under the name Clostridium sp. FP1. RNAcentral's name for it is "bacterial SSU rRNA". It matches the Rfam family "Bacterial small subunit ribosomal RNA", at positions 1 to 456 of the family's 1533-position model. The record is from RNAcentral. Lineage: Bacteria; Bacillati; Bacillota; Clostridia; Eubacteriales; Clostridiaceae.
UUAAAUUGAGAGUUUGAUCCUGGCUCAGGACGAACGCUGGCGGCGUGCCUAACACAUGCAAGUCGAGCGAUGAAGCGCUUCUUCGGAAGCGACGAUUAGCGGCGGACGGGUGAGUAACACGUGGGUAACCUGCCUCAAAGAGGGGAAUAGCCUCCCGAAAGGGAGAUUAAUACCGCAUAAUAUGUUUUGGUCGCAUGAUUGAAACAUCAAAGGAUUUUUCUUUUAGAAAAUUCCACUUUGAGAUGGACCCGCGGCGCAUUAGCUAGUUGGUGAGGUAACGGCCCACCAAGGCAACGAUGCGUAGCCGACCUGAGAGGGUGAUCGGCCACAUUGGAACUGAGACACGGUCCAGACUCCUACGGGAGGCAGCAGUGGGGAAUAUUGCGCAAUGGGGGAAACCCUGACGCAGCAACGCCGCGUGAAUGAUGAAGGCCUUCGGGUUGUAAAGUUCUGUCUUCUGGGACGAUAAUGACG